UAAACUAGGAUUAGAUACCCUAUUAUUUAAAAUGUAAUUUUAAUCACUAAGGUAGUAGUAGUUAUGUUCUUGAAACUUAAAAAAUUUGGCGGUAUUUUAGUCUAUUCAGAGGAACCUGUCCUGUAAUUGAUAAUCCACGAUGUACCUCACUUAAAUUUGUUUUUCAGUUUAUAUACCGUCGUUAUCAGAAUAUUUUAUUAGAAUAAUAAUUUUCUAUAAUUUUUAUAAGAAUUUAUAUCAGAUCAAGGUGUAGCUUAUGUUUAAGUAGAGAUGGGUUACAAUAAAUUUAUUUAAAUGGAUCUAAUUUUGAAAUGAUUAGUGAAGGUGGAUUUGAUAGUAAAAUUUUAAAGAUUGUUAAUUUGAUUUUAGCUCUAGAAUAUGCACACAUCGCCCGUCGCUCUUGCUAUUAAGGUAAGAUAAGUCGUAACAUAGUA
This 434-nucleotide ribosomal RNA is filed under the name Bactrocera trilineola. RNAcentral's name for it is "partial 12S ribosomal RNA". The record is from RNAcentral. Lineage: Eukaryota; Metazoa; Arthropoda; Insecta; Diptera; Tephritidae.